CGCUCCGCUAGGCUGCAGCGGCUUCUCAGACUUCCCGCUGCUGAGGCCCUGGGCCUUCCCCGGAGUCGCGGUGAGGCAGCGGAGGAAAAUUCUGGCAGCAACACAGCUGGACAGUUCAGACCUUCUUUAGAAAACGUACUCUAACCCACAGAAGGACAAGCAUUGCGUGAGGCUUUCUAUAAAUUGCCCAGGCUGCCCCCACCAC
Molecule: long non-coding RNA, 205 nt
Organism: Fukomys damarensis (Damara mole-rat)
Lineage: Eukaryota; Metazoa; Chordata; Mammalia; Rodentia; Bathyergidae
Exons: 3
Source: RefSeq, a predicted model, not a curated record